Molecule: ribosomal RNA, 2900 nt
Filed under: Klebsiella pneumoniae
Lineage: Bacteria; Pseudomonadati; Pseudomonadota; Gammaproteobacteria; Enterobacterales; Enterobacteriaceae
Description: bacterial LSU rRNA
Rfam family: Bacterial large subunit ribosomal RNA
Source: RNAcentral
UUAAGCGACUAAGCGUACACGGUGGAUGCCCUGGCAGUCAGAGGCGAUGAAGGACGUGCUAAUCUGCGAAAAGCGUCGGUAAGGUGAUAUGAACCGUUAUAACCGGCGAUGUCCGAAUGGGGAAACCCAGUGCAAUUCGUUGCACUAUCGUUAACUGAAUACAUAGGUUAACGAGGCGAACCGGGGGAACUGAAACAUCUAAGUACCCCGAGGAAAAGAAAUCAACCGAGAUUCCCCCAGUAGCGGCGAGCGAACGGGGAGCAGCCCAGAGUCUGAAUCAGCUUGUGUGUUAGUGGAACGGUCUGGAAAGUCCGACGGUACAGGGUGAUAGUCCCGUACACCAAAAUGCACAGGCUGUGAACUCGAAGAGUAGGGCGGGACACGUGGUAUCCUGUCUGAAUAUGGGGGGACCAUCCUCCAAGGCUAAAUACUCCUGACUGACCGAUAGUGAACCAGUACCGUGAGGGAAAGGCGAAAAGAACCCCGGCGAGGGGAGUGAAAAAGAACCUGAAACCGUGUACGUACAAGCAGUGGGAGCACCUUCGGGUGUGACUGCGUACCUUUUGUAUAAUGGGUCAGCGACUUAUAUUCUGUAGCAAGGUUAACCGUAUAGGGGAGCCGCAGGGAAACCGAGUCUUAACUGGGCGUUAAGUUGCAGGGUAUAGACCCGAAACCCGGUGAUCUAGCCAUGGGCAGGUUGAAGGUUGGGUAACACUAACUGGAGGACCGAACCGACUAAUGUUGAAAAAUUAGCGGAUGACUUGUGGCUGGGGGUGAAAGGCCAAUCAAACCGGGAGAUAGCUGGUUCUCCCCGAAAGCUAUUUAGGUAGCGCCUCGUGAAUUCAUCUUCGGGGGUAGAGCACUGUUUCGGCUAGGGGGUCAUCCCGACUUACCAACCCGAUGCAAACUACGAAUACCGAAGAAUGUUAUCACGGGAGACACACGGCGGGUGCUAACGUCCGUCGUGAAGAGGGAAACAACCCAGACCGCCAGCUAAGGUCCCAAAGUCAUGGUUAAGUGGGAAACGAUGUGGGAAGGCACAGACAGCCAGGAUGUUGGCUUAGAAGCAGCCAUCAUUUAAAGAAAGCGUAAUAGCUCACUGGUCGAGUCGGCCUGCGCGGAAGAUGUAACGGGGCUAAACCAUGCACCGAAGCUGCGGCAGCGACACUAUGUGUUGUUGGGUAGGGGAGCGUUCUGUAAGCCUGCGAAGGUGUGCUGUGAGGCAUGCUGGAGGUAUCAGAAGUGCGAAUGCUGACAUAAGUAACGAUAAAGCGGGUGAAAAGCCCGCUCGCCGGAAGACCAAGGGUUCCUGUCCAACGUUAAUCGGGGCAGGGUGAGUCGACCCCUAAGGCGAGGCCGAAAGGCGUAGUCGAUGGGAAACAGGUUAAUAUUCCUGUACUUGGUGUUACUGCGAAGGGGGGACGGAGAAGGCUAUGUUAGCCGGGCGACGGUUGUCCCGGUUUAAGCAUGUAGGCUGGUUAUCCAGGCAAAUCCGGAUAAUCAAGGCUGAGGUGUGAUGACGAGGCACUACGGUGCUGAAGUAACAAAUGCCCUGCUUCCAGGAAAAGCCUCUAAGCAUCAGGUAACAUUAAAUCGUACCCCAAACCGACACAGGUGGUCAGGUAGAGAAUACCAAGGCGCUUGAGAGAACUCGGGUGAAGGAACUAGGCAAAAUGGUGCCGUAACUUCGGGAGAAGGCACGCUGGUGUGUAGGUGAAGUCCCUGCGGAUGGAGCUGAGACCAGUCGAAGAUACCAGCUGGCUGCAACUGUUUAUUAAAAACACAGCACUGUGCAAACACGAAAGUGGACGUAUACGGUGUGACGCCUGCCCGGUGCCGGAAGGUUAAUUGAUGGGGUUAUCCGUAAGGAGAAGCUCUUGAUCGAAGCCCCGGUAAACGGCGGCCGUAACUAUAACGGUCCUAAGGUAGCGAAAUUCCUUGUCGGGUAAGUUCCGACCUGCACGAAUGGCGUAAUGAUGGCCAGGCUGUCUCCACCCGAGACUCAGUGAAAUUGAACUCGCUGUGAAGAUGCAGUGUACCCGCGGCAAGACGGAAAGACCCCGUGAACCUUUACUAUAGCUUGACACUGAACAUUGAGCCUUGAUGUGUAGGAUAGGUGGGAGGCUUUGAAGCGUGGACGCCAGUCUGCGUGGAGCCAACCUUGAAAUACCACCCUUUAAUGUUUGAUGUUCUAACGUUGGCCCCUGACCGGGGUUGCGGACAGUGUCUGGUGGGUAGUUUGACUGGGGCGGUCUCCUCCCAAAGCGUAACGGAGGAGCACGAAGGUUAGCUAAUCCUGGUCGGACAUCAGGAGGUUAGUGCAAUGGCAUAAGCUAGCUUGACUGCGAGCGUGACGGCGCGAGCAGGUGCGAAAGCAGGUCAUAGUGAUCCGGUGGUUCUGAAUGGAAGGGCCAUCGCUCAACGGAUAAAAGGUACUCCGGGGAUAACAGGCUGAUACCGCCCAAGAGUUCAUAUCGACGGCGGUGUUUGGCACCUCGAUGUCGGCUCAUCACAUCCUGGGGCUGAAGUAGGUCCCAAGGGUAUGGCUGUUCGCCAUUUAAAGUGGUACGCGAGCUGGGUUUAGAACGUCGUGAGACAGUUCGGUCCCUAUCUGCCGUGGGCGCUGGAGAAUUGAGGGGGGCUGCUCCUAGUACGAGAGGACCGGAGUGGACGCAUCACUGGUGUUCGGGUUGUCAUGCCAAUGGCACUGCCCGGUAGCUAAAUGCGGAAGAGAUAAGUGCUGAAAGCAUCUAAGCACGAAACUUGCCCCGAGAUGAGUUCUCCCUGAGACUUUAAGUCUCCUGAAGGAACGUUGAAGACGACGACGUUGAUAGGCCGGGUGUGUAAGCGCAGCGAUGCGUUGAGCUAACCGGUACUAAUGAACCGUGAGGCUUAACCUU